CGUAGGGUGCAAGCGUUGUCCGGAUUUAUUGGGUUUAAAGGGUGCGUAGGCGGUCUAUUAAGUCAGUGUUUAAAUUUUGCAGCUUAACUGUAGGUAUGGCAUUGAUACUGAUGGACUUGAAUAUUAAGGAGGUAGCUGGAAUUUAUGGUGUAGCGGUGAAAUGCAUAGAUACCAUAAGGAACACCGAUAGCGGAGGCAGGUUACCACUUGAUAAUUGACGCUGAGGCACGAAAGUGUGGGGAUCAAACAGGAUUAGAUACCCUGGUAGUCCACACUGUAAACGAUGAUUACUAGAUGCCGGGGGCUUGCCUUCGGUGUUCAAGCGAAAGCGAUAAGUAAUCCACCUGGGGAGUACGACCGCAAGGUUG
Molecule: ribosomal RNA, 368 nt
Filed under: uncultured organism
Description: bacterial SSU rRNA
Rfam family: Bacterial small subunit ribosomal RNA
Source: RNAcentral